RNAcentral lists this ribosomal RNA (210 nucleotides) under uncultured bacterium. RNAcentral's name for it is "partial 16S ribosomal RNA". It matches the Rfam family "Bacterial small subunit ribosomal RNA", at positions 524 to 732 of the family's 1533-position model. The record is from RNAcentral.
UACAGAGGGUGCAAGCGUUGUUCGGAAUUAUUGGGCGUAAAGCGCGUGUAGGCGGCUUUGCAAGUCGGGUGUGAAAGCCCUCAGCUCAACUGAGGAAGUGCGCCCGAAACUGCAGAGCUUGAGUACCGGAGAGGGUGGCGGAAUUCCCCAAGUAGAGGUGAAAGUUCGUAGAUAUGGGGAGGAACACCGGUGGCGAAGGCGGCCACCUGG